This 512-nucleotide ribosomal RNA is filed under the name Listeria monocytogenes. RNAcentral's name for it is "partial 23S ribosomal RNA". It matches the Rfam family "Bacterial large subunit ribosomal RNA", at positions 864 to 1374 of the family's 2925-position model. The record is from RNAcentral. Lineage: Bacteria; Bacillati; Bacillota; Bacilli; Caryophanales; Listeriaceae.
AUAGCUUUAGGGCUAGCCUCGAGGUAAAGAGUCAUGGAGGUAGAGCACUGUUUGGACUAGGGGCCCUUCUCGGGUUACCGAAUUCAGAUAAACUCCGAAUGCCAUGUACUUAUACUCGGGAGUCAGACUGCGAGUGAUAAGAUCCGUAGUCGAAAGGGAAACAGCCCAGACCACCAGUUAAGGUCCCCAAAUAUAUGUUAAGUGGAAAAGGAUGUGGGGUUGCUUAGACAACCAGGAUGUUGGCUUAGAAGCAGCCACCAUUGAAAGAGUGCGUAAUAGCUCACUGGUCGAGUGACCCCGCGCCGAAAAUGUACCGGGGCUAAACAUAUUACCGAAACUGUGGAUGAACCUCUUUAGAGGUUCGUGGUAGGAGAGCGUUCUAAGGGCGGUGAAGUCAGACCGGAAGGACUGGUGGAGCGCUUAGAAGUGAGAAUGCCGGUAUGAGUAGCGAAAGAAGGGUGAGAAUCCCUUCCACCGAAUAUCUAAGGUUUCCUGAGGAAGGCUCGUCCGCU